This is a long non-coding RNA of Solanum tuberosum (potato), 1367 nucleotides long. RefSeq lists it as uncharacterized. The transcript is spliced from 2 exons. Lineage: Eukaryota; Viridiplantae; Streptophyta; Magnoliopsida; Solanales; Solanaceae. The record is from RefSeq and is a predicted model, not a curated record.
CCAACAUUAAGACCCAUACCCUUAUCAAUUUUCAUUUUCACUCUUCCUCUGCUCCCUUGAAGAUCAGCGCCGCCAGCCCCUCUUCUCUCACGUGGCUCCUCCGACGAGACCAUCCAUCGCCGGCGAUAGUUUCCUCUCUCCACUCCCCGUCGCUCUCUCUCCUCUUUCCCUCCCCUCGUUUCCUCCCUUCUCAUUUAGGCGAGAAAUAACACCAGCUCCGACUAGCGACAGCAACCGACAACAGCCAGCAGCCGGCGAGGAAGGCGGUGCAGCGAGCAAAGGAGCAAGGCUGAUGCUCCUCAUUUUCCCCUCUCAUUUUCAGCGAAGCAGCAACAGCAGCCGGCGACGACACCAGCUCCAACCAGAAGCUAGGAGAGACACCGCGAGGACCAGCAGCAACAACUGCUCCGGCCAGCAGUCCGGUGGAACAAACAGCAACAUCAACAACUCCGGUGAAACAAAUAAGGUAGCAAGAACUCCAGUGAAGUUGAAGUUCUAGUCUGCUAAAGACGAAUCUUCUCAGAUUCACCUUGGUUUGUUUUCUUGUUCGAUCUACUAUUUAAUUUCUCUGUGAAUUAGUGAAACUGUGUCCCUUAUUUCUUAAUCGCCAAAAUGUGUUUUUUUAAGCAUGAAAUCGGUGGUAAUUUUCAAAUUUUAUGAAUUGUCUCGUGUUAAUAAUAUUAGUUUGAGUGUAUUGUGUUAAUAAUAUUAGUUGGAGUGUUAACAGAACGAGAUUUACAUAUGGCUCGUGUAAACAUUAUUUCUGUGGUUUGUUCUUGCUAUUUACUUGGAUAACACAAUUUUGAAUAUUUCUGGUGUGAGAAAGUCAGCAUUCUACUUCUUGAAUCCUGUUUACUCGACAGGCAAAAGUGGAAAUAAGGUGAAAGGUAACCAAAAUUUAUCAGUACCUUAAUAUCGAAUUUUGAUCAUACUGUGGCAAAACUUUAAGGCUGUUCAUUUUGUGUUCAGAGGGUAGUGUUUGUAGUUGCACAGGUUCAGUGCCAGCGUUGGAUAGUAUUAUACCAGAUGACGAAGAUGUUCUUGAAGAAGAAAACAUUGUUAAACGGCAAGCUAUGCAAGGUGAAGUUGAUUCUAAUGUUGCAGUUCAACUACAUGGCCUUGCAAAGAUAUUUGCUGGAACAACAUAGAUGGGAUGUUGUAAAUGCCAAAGGAAAUCUCCUUUUCAUGCCAUCAAGCAAGUUUGAACACAAGUUCAAGAUAUGGAGAGCCUCCAUAGGAGGGAAACACUAGACAAGCUAAUUUUAUUUAAUUUGGGUUUUGUAUAUUAUUUAAUUUCUAUUAUUGUCUUGUAAUUAUUUGUAAACUCUAACUCUCUCUAUAUAGUGUAUGUUGUUAAUUUUAAUUUG